This 218-nucleotide long non-coding RNA is filed under the name Trifolium pratense (red clover). RNAcentral describes it as "long non-coding RNA (TPRA_LNC007448)". The record is from RNAcentral. Lineage: Eukaryota; Viridiplantae; Streptophyta; Magnoliopsida; Fabales; Fabaceae.
GUAAUAAAUUAAAAAUACGGACGGAGUGCAUGUAUAGUAUAGUAGCAGUAGUUAUUAGAGUAUGAAUGAAAAAUGGUACCUUGAAAAUCUGGAACAUUGAUUUAUAUGAAUGAGAAGAUACAGAGAGAGGAGAGGAGAGGAGCAGCCAGCGAGUAAUAAAGAUCGGCAAUUGAAUCGAAUCUGCUCCAACAAAGUAAGGAUCUGUCCUGUGAAUUCAG